This 497-nucleotide ribosomal RNA is filed under the name uncultured bacterium. RNAcentral describes it as "partial 16S ribosomal RNA". It matches the Rfam family "Bacterial small subunit ribosomal RNA", at positions 28 to 507 of the family's 1533-position model. The record is from RNAcentral.
GGCGAACGCUGGCGGCGUGCCUAAUACAUGCAAGUUGAGCGCUGAAGGUUGGUACUUGUCCCGACUGGAUGAGCAGCGAACGGGUGAGUAACGCGUGGGGAAUCUGCCUUUGAGCGGGGGACAACAUUUGGAAACGAAUGCUAAUACCGCAUAAAAACUUUAAACACAAGUUUUAAGUUUGAAAGAUGCAAUUGCAUCACUCAAAGAUGAUCCCGCGUUGUAUUAGCUAGUUGGUGAGGUAAAGGCUCACCAAGGCGAUGAUACAUAGCCGACCUGAGAGGGUGAUCGGCCACAUUGGGACUGAGACACGGCCCAAACUCCUACGGGAGGCAGCAGUAGGGAAUCUUCGGCAAUGGACGAAAGUCUGACCGAGCAACGCCGCGUGAGUGAAGAAGGUUUUCGGAUCGUAAAACUCUGUUGGUAGAGAAGAACGUUGGUGAGAGUGGAAAGCUCAUCAAGUGACGGUAACUACCCAGAAAGGGACGGCUAACUACGUG